GGGGAGCUCUUGAACAACCAAUUAUCCCGGAGUAUAGAAGAAUUUCAAGACAAAAUAGAAGAAAUAACCUCCCAAGAAGUUAUAGAACUGGUUGAGGAGACAGUGAGUGGAUACAAGAAUCAAUCAAGAGUUGAUCUCACCUGUCCAACAAUGUUAGAUUCCCUCGAUGAAGACAAUGUGCAAGAUCAGUACGUUAUGGAUCUA
RNAcentral lists this long non-coding RNA (204 nucleotides) under Gossypium barbadense (sea-island cotton). Its description in RNAcentral is "long non-coding RNA (GBAR_LNC014884)". Lineage: Eukaryota; Viridiplantae; Streptophyta; Magnoliopsida; Malvales; Malvaceae. The record is from RNAcentral.